RNAcentral lists this ribosomal RNA (446 nucleotides) under uncultured bacterium. Its description in RNAcentral is "partial 16S ribosomal RNA". It matches the Rfam family "Bacterial small subunit ribosomal RNA", at positions 338 to 795 of the family's 1533-position model. The record is from RNAcentral.
CCUACGGGUGGCAGCAGUCGAGAAUCAUUCACAAUGGGGGAAACCCUGAUGGUGCGACGCCGCGUGGGUGAAUGAAGGUCUUCGGAUUGUAAACCCCUGUCAUGUGGGAGCAAAUUAUAAAGAUAGCACCACAAGAGGAAGAGACGGCUAACUCUGUGCCAGCAGCCGCGGUACUACAGAGGUCUCAAGCGUUGUUCGGAAUCACUGGGCGUAAAGCGUGCGUAGGCUGUUUCGUAAGUCGUGUGUGAAAGGCGCGGGCUCAACCCGCGGACGGCACAUGAUACUGCGGGACUAGAGUAAUGGAGGGGGAACCGGAAUUCUCGGUGUAGCAGUGAAAUGCGUAGAUAUCGGGAGGAACACUCGUGGCGAAGGCGGGUUCCUGGACAUUAACUGACGCUGAGGCACGAAGGCCAGGGGAGCGAAAGGGAUUAGAUACCCGGGUAGUC